This 280-nucleotide unclassified non-coding RNA is filed under the name Ganoderma australe. RNAcentral's name for it is "partial internal transcribed spacer region". The stretch from base 1 to 46 matches the Rfam family "Eukaryotic small subunit ribosomal RNA", at positions 1786 to 1831 of the family's 1831-position model. Lineage: Eukaryota; Fungi; Basidiomycota; Agaricomycetes; Polyporales; Polyporaceae. The record is from RNAcentral.
AAGUCGUAACAAGGUUUCCGUAGGUGAACCUGCGGAAGGAUCAUUAUCGAGUUUUGACUGGGUUGUAGCUGGCCUUCCGAGGCAUGUGCACGCCCUGCUCAUCCACUCUACACCUGUGCACUUACUGUGGGUUUUACGGGUCGUGAAAUGGGCUCGUUUAUUCGGGCUUGUUGAGCGCACUUGUUGCCUGCGUUUAUCACAAACUCUAUAAAGUAUUAGAAUGUGUAUUGCGAUGUAACGCAUCUAUAUACAACUUUCAGCAACGGAUCUCUUGGCUCUC